GUGCCAGCCGCCGCGGUAAUACGGAGUGUGCAAGCGUUACUCGGAAUCACUGGGCAUAAAGCGCGCGUAGGCGGGGUCAAAAGUCGGGUGUGAAAUCCCUCAGCUCAACUGAGGACCUGCAUCCGAUACUGCGACUCUUGAGCACGAAAGGGGAGAGCGGAACUUCUGGUGAAGCGGUGAAAUGCGUAGAUAUCAGAAGGAACGCCGGUGGCGAAAGCGGCUCUCUGGUUCGUUUCUGACGCUGAGGCGCGAAAGCUUGGGUAGCAAACGGGAUUAGAAACCCCUGUAGUCC
This 292-nucleotide ribosomal RNA is filed under the name uncultured bacterium. RNAcentral describes it as "partial 16S ribosomal RNA". It matches the Rfam family "Bacterial small subunit ribosomal RNA", at positions 505 to 796 of the family's 1533-position model. The record is from RNAcentral.